Molecule: ribosomal RNA, 269 nt
Filed under: uncultured prokaryote
Description: partial 16S ribosomal RNA
Rfam family: Bacterial small subunit ribosomal RNA
Source: RNAcentral
UACGAGGGGUGCUAGCGUUAUUCAGAAUUACUGGGCGUAAAGGGUGUGUAGACGGUAUGUUAAGUUGGCUGUUAAAUUCUUCGGCUUAACCGGAGAAAUGCGGCUGAAACUGGCGUACUUGAGGGUGGAAGAGAGAAGUGGAAUUCUCGGAGUAGCGGUAAAAUGCGUAGAUCUCGAGAGGAACACCGAUGGCGAAGGCAGCUUCUUGGUCCACUCCUGACGUUGAAACACGAAAGCGUGGGGAGCAAACAGGAUUAGAUACCCCCGUA